This 252-nucleotide ribosomal RNA is filed under the name uncultured bacterium. RNAcentral's name for it is "partial 16S ribosomal RNA". It matches the Rfam family "Bacterial small subunit ribosomal RNA", at positions 523 to 769 of the family's 1533-position model. The record is from RNAcentral.
AUACGGGGGGUGCAAGCGUUGUUCGGAAUUAUUGGGCGUAAAGCGCGUGUAGGCGGUUUGUUAAGUCUGAUGUGAAAGCCCGGGUUUUUUUCCAACCCAGGAAGUGCAUUGGAUACUGGCAGACUUGAAUACGGGAGAGGGUAGUGGAAUUCCUGGUGUAGGAGUGAAAUCCGUAGAUAUCAGGAGGAACACCGGUGGCGAAGGCGGCUACCUGGGCCGAUAUUGACGCUGAGACGCGAAAGCGUGGGUAGC